GGCAGCAUGGUGUAUUGGUUUGAUUGUUGGACUACAAUUCUGAAGACCAGAGUUCAAAUCCCUGCUCAGCCA
This is a non-coding RNA of Phrynosoma platyrhinos (Desert horned lizard), 72 nucleotides long. The record is from the annotation of a GenBank genome assembly. NCBI's taxonomy places the organism in Eukaryota, Metazoa, Chordata, Lepidosauria, Squamata, Phrynosomatidae.